This 94-nucleotide transfer RNA is filed under the name Irpex rosettiformis. RNAcentral describes it as "tRNA-Ser". It matches the Rfam family "tRNA". From Rfam's summary of the family: Transfer RNA (tRNA) molecules are approximately 80 nucleotides in length. Their secondary structure includes four short double-helical elements and three loops (D, anti-codon, and T loops). Further hydrogen bonds mediate the characteristic L-shaped molecular structure. tRNAs have two regions of fundamental functional importance: the anti-codon, which is responsible for specific mRNA codon recognition, and the 3' end, to which the tRNAs corresponding amino acid is attached (by aminoacyl-tRNA synthetases). tRNAs cope with the degeneracy of the genetic code in two manners: having more than one tRNA (with a specific anti-codon) for a particular amino acid; and 'wobble' base-pairing, i.e. permitting non-standard base-pairing at the 3rd anti-codon position. Lineage: Eukaryota; Fungi; Basidiomycota; Agaricomycetes; Polyporales; Irpicaceae. The record is from RNAcentral.
GUCACUUUGCCGGAGUGGUUAACGGGAUCGCCUGCUAUUUAUAGCUGCUAGCGGUUGUGCUUUGCACGCGAGUGUUCGAAUCGCUCAGGUGACG